RNAcentral lists this ribosomal RNA (253 nucleotides) under uncultured bacterium. RNAcentral's name for it is "partial 16S ribosomal RNA". It matches the Rfam family "Bacterial small subunit ribosomal RNA", at positions 524 to 776 of the family's 1533-position model. The record is from RNAcentral.
UACGUAGGGUGCGAGCGUUGUCCGGAAGUAUUGGGCGUAAAGGGCUCGUAGGCGGUUUGUCGCGUCGGGAGUGAAAUCCACUGGCUUAACUGGUGGCUUGCUUUCGAUACGGGCAGACUGGAGGUAUGCAGGGGAGAACGGAAUUCCUGGUGUAGCGGUGAAAUGCGCAGAUAUCAGGAGGAACACCGGUGGCGAAGGCGGUUCUCUGGGCAUGUCCUGACGCUGAGGAGCGAAAGUGUGGGGAGCGAACAGG